This 459-nucleotide ribosomal RNA is filed under the name uncultured bacterium. RNAcentral describes it as "partial 16S ribosomal RNA". It matches the Rfam family "Bacterial small subunit ribosomal RNA", at positions 338 to 795 of the family's 1533-position model. The record is from RNAcentral.
CCUACGGGUGGCAGCAGUGAGGAAUAUUGGUCAAUGGCCGGAAGUCUGAACCAGCCAAGCCGCGUGAAGGACGAAGGUGCCAAGCAUUGUAAACUUCUUUUGUCAAGGGACAAAAUCAGGCUCGAGAGCCUGACCGAGGGUACUUGAAGAAAAAGCAUCGGCUAACUCCGUGCCAGCAGCCGCGGUAAUACGGAGGAUGCGAGCGUUAUCCGGAUUUAUUGGGUUUAAAGGGUGCGUAGGCGGACUGUUAAGUCAGCGGUAAAAGCCCGGGGCUCAACCCCGGCGAGCCGUUGAAACUGGCUGUCUUGAGAUGGCGAGAGGUAUGCGGAAUGCGCAGUGUAGCGGUGAAAUGCUUAGAUAUUGCGCAGAACUCCGAUUGCGAAGGCAGCAUACCGGCGGCGAUCUGACGCUGAGGCACGAAAGCGUGGGUAUCGAACAGGAUUAGAUACCCGAGUAGUC